AUGAGUAGUAUUGGGCAAAUAGUACUCAAGAAAUGUUAGCAGUUGAGAAGUCAGUUAUCAUAUGUAGGCAUGGACAUAUGUGUCUAUAGAAUCAUAGAAUUGUACGUUAUCUUGAAGAAUAAUCAUUUUACACUUUACCGUUUAAUCAAGCCUGUCCAUCUUUUCCUAUGUUUCCUUGGAUGUGUGUUUUCUAUUCUUUUUUUGACCACAUACUGCUGCCUCAGGCAGAUGGGGGGCCCUGAGUCCCUGGCCUGGAAGUGGGCCUGAGGCUGUGGUGAAUGGAGCCAAGAGAAUAAUUACCAGGUCAGUUUCCUAUGGAGUUUCUGGGUCAGUAAUGCCAAGACCAAUAGUCCAGGGUCAGGGUGCCAAAUUCAGACAGGGCAAUAAAAAAGAGAAAGCUCUAAUUCAAAUUGAUCGUUCUGACAGAGAAGGCAAUGCAAAGGGAGUUCAGUCAGACAAGCCAGGACUGAUUCCUGAGAAAAAAAUGCACACAGUGCCAAUUUCCUUUUUUAACUGGUUCCUGCCACAGCUAACAUCGGGGACAUAUCCUAAAGUGAGUGAUGCAGCUGGGGAGUGCACCAUUGUAUUCUCACAGAGUUUUCUCUCAGCCUGAGAUUGACUGAAUAUUCACUUAUAGUUUCUCCUUUUUUUUAUUAUUUGAGAUUUUACGUUUAAUUCUUUUUUAUGCAUUUUCUACUUAUGUAUUACAUUUAAGUCUUUAACAUCUCUAGUUAGAAAACUGCACUUGUAUAUGGGUAAGAUUGGUUUCUACUGUGCUAGCUUCCUCAGCUUUAUUAGUAAGAUAUGCAUAGUGGUCAAGAACAUGAAUUCUAGGCCGGGCGCCGUGGCUCACACUUGUAAUCCCAGCACUUUGGGAGGCCGAGGCGGGUGGAUCACCUGAGGUCAGGAGUUCAAGAUUAGACUGGCCAACAUGGUGAAACUCCAUCUCUGCUAAAAAUACAAAAAUUAGCUGGGCGUCAUGGUGCGUGCGUGUGAUCCCAGCUACUCAGGAGACUGAGGCAGGAGAAUCGCUUGAACCCAGGAGGAAGAGGUUGCAGUGAGCCAAGAUUGCGCCACUGCACUCCAGCCUGGGUGACAAAGUGAGACCUUGUCUCAAAAAUAAAUAAAUUAAUUAAAUAAAAUAAGAUAGGAACAAUGCAGAGAAGAUUAGCAAGGCCCUUGCACAAGGAUGUCAUGAAAAUUUGCUAAGCAUUCCGUAUAUUUUAUCUGAAGUGUUCUCAUCAUGUACACACACAAAAACAUAAGUAUGUCAGGUGAUGGUUAGUUAGCUUGAUUCUGGUGAUUAUUCCACAAUGCACAUAUGUAUCAAAAUAUCAAAUGGUACACCUUAAAUAUAUACAAUUCAAAUUUGUCAAUUAUACCUUAUUAAAGCAGCAGCAGAAGAAGGGGUGUUACCAAACUGCCCAAAACUGUAGUUGCCACAGCCCCCUCUGCCCUUCCUGUUCUCUUUUUCCUGCCUUUCUAUACUUGGGAUCUUUGGCUUAUGUGUGUUAAAUUGGAUGUUAUGAAAAACAAGAAAUAUUCAAGCUUUCUAUGCAUUAAGAUUUAGUAGUAUAUAAACUUUGAUCCACUUUAUAUUUUUCAGUAGAGGGGACCAUGUAGAAUAGCUGGCAUCAGAAUUUUCUGGAUUUUUUUCCUCAAGCGAUACCACUAAAAUGGAAACCUGAAGAUUUUUAUAAGCAAAUGUAGGCUAACAUUGAUUUUUAAAAAAGCCGCCAAUAUGCUAUAGCAGUGAAUGUUGCAAACAAAAUGACUUUCCUUAAUUAUAAUCGGGUGAAUUUGGGACUAGGAAAAACAGUUUGUUUACCCAUUUAAUCACCACCUAUAGGUAAGAAGCUCAGAGACUUUCCAGGUGAAUGAGGCCCCUGAUAAAUAUAUCUCUGUCUUGUGGACAGUAAAAUGAUUCAACAAAUGUCAUAUGUAGUGUUUAGCUCUUGAGGAGACCUAUGGCCUAGUUGGAACAUAUCCUAUGUGCUGUGCCUACUGGAGGGUAGCAUGAACAGAUUGCUGGUAAUAGCUCACUCCACAUAGUGUCUGUCAGAUAUAAAGUGCCAGGUCAAGUAGUGACCACAUGCAAUGUGGACACCAUGAUUUUUCCACUUCUCUCAAUUACUAAAAAGCUUUUAAGAGGCUGGGCAUGGUGGCUCAUGCCUGUAAUCCCAACAAUUUCGGAGGCCGAGGCGGGCAGAUAGCCUGAGGUUAGGAGUUCAAGACCAGCCUGGCCAACAUGGCGAAACCCUGUCUCUACUAAAAAUACAAAAAUUAGCUGGGUGUGCUGGUGCAUGCCUGUAAUCCCAGCUACUUGGGAGUCUGAGGCAGGGAGAAUCGCUUGAACCUGGGAAUCGGAAGUUGCAGUGAGCCGAGGUCAUGCCAUUACACUCCAGCCUGGGCGACAGAGGGAGACUGUCUCAAAAAAACAAAAACAACAAAAGCAUGAAUUCUAGAGUCAGAUUGCUUGGGUCAAAAUAUUGGCUCUAGCACCUAAUAAAUAAUUAGCCGCAUUAACCUCUUCAUGCCUCACCUUCUUUUCUAUGAAAUGCAGAUAAAAUAUUACCUACCUCCAGGUAUUGGCAUAUCACUAGCAAUGAACAUACUUGAUGCCAGAUCUUGUUUUAUAUGUGCAAUUUUAUGAAAGAAAAAAAAGAAAAGGAAAGAAAUCAGGGCAGCCGGGGGCAUUGGUUCACACCUAUAAUCCUAGCACUUUGGAAGGCCAAGGUGGGAGGAUCACUUGAGCUCAGGAUUUCCAGACCAGCCUUGGCAACAUGGCACAACCUCAUCUCUACUAAAAAUACCAAACAAUAGCCGGUUGUGGUUGCGCACGUCUUUAGUCCCAGCUUAUAGUCCCAGCUACUUUGGAGGCUGAGGCACGAGAAUCGCUUCAUCCCGUGAGGUGGAGGUUGUAGUGAGCCCAGGUCGCGUCAUCUCCAGCCUGGGCAGCGGAGCAAGACUC
Molecule: long non-coding RNA, 2971 nt
Filed under: Homo sapiens (human)
Lineage: Eukaryota; Metazoa; Chordata; Mammalia; Primates; Hominidae
Source: RNAcentral